UUGAAAGGCGUCUUUAAAUAAAAUGUGUUCUUAUACUCUCCUGUUUUUCAGAAUAUGUCACUGAGCUCACCAACCUCCUCUUUAAUGAGGUCAUUCGUGACCCUGAACCUUUCGUAGCUGCCCUGAAGGAAGUAGCUGUUCCAGGGUUCCUCUGCUCCCAGUAUGAGCGACCUGACAAGGCAGAUGCAGUUGCCAGCCAAAUGUCCAGGUUCAGCUGUCCAGGUAAGGGUUGGCUCCUCCAACACAUUGUGGCUAAAUGCCUGUUUAUCCACAAGUCUGCCUAAAUCAGUAUCACAACAUUUAUAAUGAAUAUAAUCAAGCACAGAUCCAGCUCCACAGCCCUGAUGACACAAACACCUGCUGAGAGUGAGAGGAGGGGAGAGGACACCAACUAAAGAACCCAGAACUAUGAGGAACGGAGGAAGUCAAGGUACUCCUGGUGGAUACAGACAACAACGCAGGAAGGUAUCACUACCCGGUUGUGCUUUCCCAGGUAUCCCCAGCACCAGGAAAUGAAGGAUGCCAGCACAUCAUGAUCCCAAGAAGAUGAAAGAUGGAUCAACCUGCAGCGUGUCUGAAAUCUAUUUGGCUGUAUGGAUUGGCCUGGACAUUUGUUUUUUUUUUCUUUCUCUGUUUUAACUUCCAUGAAUUAUCCACAACCAUACAUUUGUAAUUUUGACUAAUCAGUUGUUGUGAAGCGUUAUCACAAAAUGUUCAAUUUGUUAGAUUUUUAUACAUGUUGUAUAUCCUAGUUCUCUAUUGUUCUCUGAGGCUGGGACUAGUUCAUGCAUUUGUUACCUCCAGGUUGGAUUAUUGUAAUUAUUGUAAUUCUCUCUCUGGAUGGAUAGGCCGGG
Labrus bergylta (ballan wrasse) is the source of this 854-nucleotide non-coding RNA. Lineage: Eukaryota; Metazoa; Chordata; Actinopteri; Labriformes; Labridae. The record is from RefSeq and is a predicted model, not a curated record.